GCCUGGGUGGCGAAAUAGGUAGACGCAAGGGACUUAAAAUCCCUCGGGGGGUAACUCCCGUGCCGGUUCGAUUCCGGCCCCAGGCACCA
Molecule: transfer RNA, 89 nt
Filed under: Gammaproteobacteria bacterium
Lineage: Bacteria; Pseudomonadati; Pseudomonadota; Gammaproteobacteria
Description: tRNA-Leu
Rfam family: tRNA
About the family: Transfer RNA (tRNA) molecules are approximately 80 nucleotides in length. Their secondary structure includes four short double-helical elements and three loops (D, anti-codon, and T loops).
Source: RNAcentral